Molecule: ribosomal RNA, 286 nt
Filed under: uncultured Bacteroides sp.
Lineage: Bacteria; Pseudomonadati; Bacteroidota; Bacteroidia; Bacteroidales; Bacteroidaceae
Description: partial 16S ribosomal RNA
Rfam family: Bacterial small subunit ribosomal RNA
Source: RNAcentral
AAGUCGAGGGGCAGCAUAAUGGAUAGCAAUAUCUAUGGUGGCGACCGGCGCACGGGUGCGUAACGCGUAUGCAACCUGCCGAUAACUCGGGGAUAGCCUUUCGAAAGAAAGAUUAAUACCCGAUGGCAUAAUUAGACCGCAUGGUCUUGUUAUUAAAGAAUUUCGGUUAUCGAUGGGGAUGCGUUCCAUUAGUUUGUUGGCGGGGUAACGGCCCACCAAGACUACGAUGGAUAGGGGUUCUGAGAGGAAGGUCCCCACAUUGGAACUGAGACACGGUCCAAACUCC